GGCGCCGUAGCCAAGUGGUUAGGCAACGGUUUGCAAAACCGUCAUACAGCAGUUCGAAUCUGCUCGGCGCCU
RNAcentral lists this transfer RNA (72 nucleotides) under Sandaracinus amylolyticus. It matches the Rfam family "tRNA". From Rfam's summary of the family: Transfer RNA (tRNA) molecules are approximately 80 nucleotides in length. Their secondary structure includes four short double-helical elements and three loops (D, anti-codon, and T loops). Lineage: Bacteria; Pseudomonadati; Myxococcota; Polyangiales; Sandaracinaceae. The record is from Rfam by way of RNAcentral. RNAcentral also lists the same sequence under 1 other name.